AGAGUUUGAUCCUGGCUCAGAAAGAACGCUGGCGGCGUGGAUUAGGCAUGCAAGUCGAACGUGAACCUGUCUCUUUUUGAAUCUUCGGAAACAGGAAGAGAUAGAGGAAAGUGGCGUAAGGGUGAGUAAUACGUGGGUAAUCUACCCAUGAGAUGGGGAUAACAGUUCGAAAGGACUGCUAAUACCGAAUGACAUUAUUAGGUCAAAAGGCCUGAUAAUUAAAGGUGGUGCAAACUGCCGCUUAUGGAUGAGCUCAUGUCCUAUUAGCUAGUUGGUAGGGUAACGGCCUACCAAGGCAAAGAUGGGUAGCCGGCCUGAGAGGGUGUUCGGCCACAUUGGGACUGAGACACUGCCCAGACUCCUACGGGAGGCUGCAGUCGAGGAUCUUUUGCAAUGGGCGAAAGCCUGACAAAGCGACGCCGCGUGAGUGAUGAAGGCCUUCGGGUUGUAAAGCUCUGUUGUCUGUGAUGAAUGACUUUAUCUAAAUAGGAUGAAGUUUUGACGGUAGCAGACGAGUAAGCUACGGCUAACUCCGUGCCAGCAGCCGCGGUAAAACGGGGGUAGCAAGCGUUUUUCGGAAUUACUGGGCGUAAAGGGCGCCUAGGUGGUUAARUGGGUUAGAUAUGAAAUCCCUCAGCUCAACUGAGGAACGGUAUCUAAAACUAUUUAACUUGAGUACAGGAGAGGAGAGCGGAAUUCCCAGUGUAGCUGUGAAAUGCGUAGAUAUUGGGAGGAACACCGGUGGCGAAAGCGGCUCUCUGGCCUGAUACUGACACUGAAGCGCGAAAGCUAGGGGAGCAAACAGGAUUAGAUACCCUGGUAGUCC
Molecule: ribosomal RNA, 826 nt
Filed under: uncultured bacterium
Lineage: Bacteria
Description: bacterial SSU rRNA
Rfam family: Bacterial small subunit ribosomal RNA
Source: RNAcentral